UAGUAGUUUGAUCCUGCUCAAGAGACGCUGGCGGCAGGCUUAACACAUGCAAGUCGAACGCCCCGCAAGGGGAGUGGCAGACGGGUGAGUAACGCUGGGAAUCUACCGUGCCCUGCGGAAUAGCUCCGGGAAACUGGAAUUAAUACCGCAUACGCCCUACGGGGGAAAGAUUUAUCGGGGUAUGAUGAGCCCGCGUUGGAUUAGCUAGUUGGUGGGGUAAAGGCCUACCAAGGCGACGAUCCAUAGCUGGUCUGAGAGGAUGAUCAGCCACAUUGGGACUGAGACACGGCCCAAACUCCUACGGGAGGCAGCAGUGGGGAAUAUUGGACAAUGGACGCAAGCCUGAUCCAGCCAUGCCGCGUGAGUGAUGAAGGCCUUAGGGUUGUAAAGCUCUUUCACCGGAGAAGAUAAUGACGGUAUCCGGAGAAGAAGCCCCGGCUAACUUCGUG
RNAcentral lists this ribosomal RNA (449 nucleotides) under uncultured Hyphomicrobiales bacterium. RNAcentral's name for it is "bacterial SSU rRNA". It matches the Rfam family "Bacterial small subunit ribosomal RNA", at positions 1 to 507 of the family's 1533-position model. The record is from RNAcentral. Lineage: Bacteria; Pseudomonadati; Pseudomonadota; Alphaproteobacteria; Hyphomicrobiales.